RNAcentral lists this ribosomal RNA (404 nucleotides) under uncultured bacterium. RNAcentral describes it as "bacterial SSU rRNA". It matches the Rfam family "Bacterial small subunit ribosomal RNA", at positions 116 to 518 of the family's 1533-position model. The record is from RNAcentral.
CGUAUAGCAACCUACCUACGACAGGGGAAUAACUCGUUGAAAGACGGACUAAUACCCAUAAUACAGGGAUCCCGCAUGGAAUAUUUGUUAAAGAUUAUCGGUUGUAGAUGGGCAUGCGUUCCAUUAGCUAGUUGGUGAGGUAACGGCUCACCAAGGCAACGAUGGAUAGGGGAACUGAGAGGUUUAUCCCCCACACUGGUACUGAGACACGGACCAGACUCCUACGGGAGGCAGCAGUGAGGAAUAUUGGUCAAUGGACGCAAGUCUGAACCAAGCCACGUCGCGUGAAGGAAGACGGCCCUACGGGUUGUAAACUUCUUUUGUAAGGGAAUAAAGUGAGCCACGUGUGGCUUUUUGCAUGUACCUUACGAAUAAGGAUCGGCUAACUCCGUGCCAGCCGCCGC